UGGCUGCGGAGGCCUAGGGCCCGGGCUCCCCGGGGCUGCACCGGGCUUGGAGACGCAGGUCACCUGCCGCCGCGCCGCCUGCCCGCAGCAGCCCGCGGGGACGCGCGCCGCGAAGAGCGGAAGGGAGAAGACUAUCGUGGUUAUGAGCUUGGAAUCUGGAACUAGACUACCUGGGUUCACAUCUGGCUCCCAUUACUGGGGUGACAUUAAGCAAAUUGUUUAACCUCUCUGUGCCCUGGUUUCCUCCUCUAUAAAAUGAAGAUAAUGAUAGUGUCUACCUCCUAGUCUUAAGCAAUAAAUAUAUUGAUAUAUUUCA
Molecule: non-coding RNA, 316 nt
Organism: Microcebus murinus (gray mouse lemur)
Lineage: Eukaryota; Metazoa; Chordata; Mammalia; Primates; Cheirogaleidae
Source: RefSeq, a predicted model, not a curated record